UACGGGAGGCAGCAGUGGGGAAUAUUGCACAAUGGGCGCAAGCCUGAUGCAGCCAUGCCGCGUGUAUGAAGAAGGCCUUCGGGUUGUAAAGUACUUUCAGCGGGGAGGAAGGCGGUGAAGUUAAUAGCUUCACCGAUUGACGUUACCCGCAGAAGAAGCACCGGCUAACUCCGUGCCAGCAGCCGCGGUAAUACGGAGGGUGCAAGCGUUAAUCGGAAUUACUGGGCGUAAAGCGCACGCAGGCGGUCUGUCAAGUCGGAUGUGAAAUCCCCGGGCUUAACCUGGGAACUGCAUUCGAAACUGGCAGGCUAGAGUCUUGUAGAGGGGGUAGAAUUCCAGGUGUAGCGGUGAAAUGCGUAGAGAUCUGGAGGAAUACCGGUGGCGAAGGCGGCCCCUGGGACAAAGACUGACGCUCAGGUGCGAAAGCGUGGGGAGCGAAACAGGGAUUAGGAUACC
Molecule: ribosomal RNA, 456 nt
Filed under: uncultured bacterium
Lineage: Bacteria
Description: bacterial SSU rRNA
Rfam family: Bacterial small subunit ribosomal RNA
Source: RNAcentral